Non-coding RNA from Lamprotornis superbus, 70 nucleotides. The record is from the annotation of a GenBank genome assembly. NCBI's taxonomy places the organism in Eukaryota, Metazoa, Chordata, Aves, Passeriformes, Sturnidae.
GAUUGGCUCAUUUGGUCAGAGCAUGGUGCUAAUAACACCGAAGUUGUGGGUUUGAUUCUCAUAUGAGCCA